Molecule: ribosomal RNA, 466 nt
Filed under: uncultured bacterium
Lineage: Bacteria
Description: partial 16S ribosomal RNA
Rfam family: Bacterial small subunit ribosomal RNA
Source: RNAcentral
GACGAACGCUGGCGGCGCGCCUAACACAUGCAAGUCGAACGAGCGAGAGAGAGCUUGCUUUCUUGAGCGAGUGGCGAACGGGUGAGUAACGCGUGAGGAACCUGCCUCAAAGAGGGGGACAACAGUUGGAAACGACUGCUAAUACCGCAUAAGCCCACGACCCGGCAUCGGGGUGAGGGAAAAGGAGCAAUCCGCUUUGAGAUGGCCUCGCGUCCGAUUAGCUAGUUGGUGAGGUAACGGCCCACCAAGGCGACGAUCGGUAGCCGGACUGAGAGGUUGAACGGCCACAUUGGGACUGAGACACGGCCCAGACUCCUACGGGAGGCAGCAGUGGAGAAUAUUGCACAAUGGGGGAAACCCUGAUGCAGCGACGCCGCGUGGAGGAAGAAGGUCUUCGGAUUGUAAACUCCUGUUGUUGAGGAAGAUAAUGACGGUACUCAACAAGGAAGUGACGGCUAACUACGUG